GUCCCAAGGGAAAUUGUUGGCCCUGUCCGCGACCCAUUGUCCACGCGAAGCGAGGAAUUCUCCUCACUGGCCAAAACAACCAUGAGCUUGUUGGACGAGGCAACGCUUCAGUUGGAGCUCAUCGAUUUCCAGUCAAGCUCCCUCCUCCGUGAUGCGUUUAGUGCGCAUUCCGUGGAGGAUUUCUGGAUCGGAUGCUCAGAAGAGUACAUGGGUAUCAAGAAACUUGCCCUUUAUGUGCUGACGAUGUUUCCAUCUACCUACACGUGUGAGUCAAGCUUUUCGUCAAUGAAUGCAAUCAAGACACACGAGAGGAACCGUCUGACCAAUGCAAGCUUGGAGAACUGCUUGAGGAUAAAAGUGACAUCCCUGUCGCCCGACAUCCACAAAAUUGUGACCGAAGGGAGGAGCCACUUUUCCCAUUAAGAGCAGCGCAGAUCCUUCUCCCACGCGGACAAUGUGCAUUCAUCUUUCACUUUCUUUAAGUUUUAUUUUAAUUGGGCCAUUUCACAUUUGAGCAGACCUUGUUAU
Long non-coding RNA from Gadus macrocephalus (Pacific cod), 528 nucleotides. RefSeq lists it as uncharacterized. The record is from RefSeq and is a predicted model, not a curated record. Lineage: Eukaryota; Metazoa; Chordata; Actinopteri; Gadiformes; Gadidae. The transcript has 2 exons.